GAUCCUGGCUCAGGAUGAACGCUGGCGGCAUGCCUAAUACAUGCAAGUCGAACGAGAGGAAGGAAAGCUUGCUUUUCUGAAUCUAGUGGCGAACGGGUGAGUAACACGUAGGUAACCUGCCCAUGUGCCCAGGAUAACUUCUGGAAACGGAUGCUAAAACCGGAUAGGUAGCAGACAAGCAUUUGACUGCUAUUAAAGUGGCCUUGGCCAUGAAACAUGGAUGGACCUGCGGUG
RNAcentral lists this ribosomal RNA (234 nucleotides) under uncultured bacterium. RNAcentral describes it as "partial 16S ribosomal RNA". It matches the Rfam family "Bacterial small subunit ribosomal RNA", at positions 15 to 238 of the family's 1533-position model. The record is from RNAcentral.